AAAAACAAAAACUGGAACAGUUGAACCCAUUAUCAGUGAUGCAGGCCUGCGCAGCGAGACACCGGCGCCGAUCGAGCGGUUGAGUGUUAAUCUAUCGCUACGGACGCGAACAGCUGACAAGGUCCAAAUUGGUCAGAACCGCUCUGUGAAGCAGUCCUUCCAGAAAGACAAGCAAAUCCGGCCGGCAAAAUCAUAUUACAGACAGACAGGACAAUGCACGCUAAACAAGUUAAGAGGACGAAUUGUACUGUAAUACUGUAUGACCAACAAAGACGGAAAUACGACGGCACGCAGCAGAUGAGUGACCGAGUAUAAACGGAAGAUCGAAUAAGUAUAUAAAGAAGUGAUCAAGCAUCACCAGCCAUCAGCAUCAGGCUAAGCGAGCAGACAAUCGCUUCGCUGCUUAUUCAAACGGAGAAGUUGUGUGACACGGAGGAAGUGCAUUGAUCAUAAUACUACUACAGGCUAAAGAGAUGGUAUCAUAGUAGGUCGACACUCACAUGUCAAAGUGCAUUCUGACUGGGCAUCAACACAAUCCAUAGUUCCAUACUCCACAAAAAUGGUAUAUAUGUUGGUCCUACUACCAAAAUGGCUCCCAAGUUCUCAGGCCCAUGUUUUUUUUCUUUCUAUUUGGAGAAAAUUCACCACUGAUAUGUGCCUCACUAUCUUGUGCUGAUCCAUAGAUAGAAGAAAAAAAAGGUAAGCACACUGGUCAUGCAUGACACUCCUACCACUAUCAUGAUGGAGAAUUAAUCUUGCAAACCACUCUCCAAUCUACACAACUUUAUGGAUAGGAUUUUAAGGUUCUCAUAUGGUCGGUAAGUUCAGUUAUCUUAACAAAGUGAAUCAAACAUGAAGAAUGAGGGAACCAAAAUAAACCGUUAUUGUUGGUUUCAUGAAAAGCCCGGUUCCAAUUAAGCGUAGUUACAACUUCCUGGUGCCCUCUUACAUAAAAACAUCUUCACUCAUCCCUAGAUAGCGGCUUUUGCCCUUAGGAUUUGUCCAUUGUCAUCCCAUUCAGACUAGGUGUAAUGAAAAUGACAGGGCUCUAAUGACACAUACAGAUCUUGGGAGAAAAACUAGCGCAUCCCGGC
Molecule: long non-coding RNA, 1094 nt
Filed under: Triticum aestivum (bread wheat)
Lineage: Eukaryota; Viridiplantae; Streptophyta; Magnoliopsida; Poales; Poaceae
Description: long non-coding RNA (TAES_LNC026031)
Source: RNAcentral